Molecule: ribosomal RNA, 293 nt
Filed under: uncultured bacterium
Lineage: Bacteria
Description: partial 16S ribosomal RNA
Rfam family: Archaeal small subunit ribosomal RNA
Source: RNAcentral
GUGCCAGCCGCUGCGGUAAUACCGGCAGCCCAAGUGAUGGCCGCUGUUAUUGGGCCUAAAGCGUCCGUAGCUGGCUGCGCAAGUCCGUCGGGAAAUCCACCCGCUCAACGAGUGGGCGUCCGGCGGAAACUGCACAGCUUGGGACCGGAAGGCUCGAAGGGUACGUUCGGGGUAGGAGUGAAAUCCCGUAAUCCCGGACGGACUACCGAUGGCGAAAGCACUCUGAGAAGACGGCUUCUACAGUGAGGGACGAAAGCUCGGGUCUCAAACCGGAUUAGAAACCCCUGUAGUCC